AUCAAACAAUGUAGAAAUUAGGACAGUAUUCCACUCUUACUUAUUUAAAAUAUGUAAUUUGAAUAAUGCAUUCCCAAACAAGUUUGAAAAUAUAUAAUUAUAAAUAAUCAAAUAUCGAUGAUAUAUCAAUAUUUUCAUAGUAGGUUUAUCGAUAGUGGGUUUAUUGAUGGGAAGGCGGUUGUUGGUCAUUGUCAAUGCCGAGGGAAUUUAGAUCGUAACGGUUUUUUUUGUGUCUGUUGUUUUGUGAUUUUUGUGAAAGAUCAGGUUUAAGGAGGCUAAGGCUGUUAAACAAUUGAAAAAAAGAGGCAAUGAAUUCAACACAAAAGAACUUUUGAAUUUGACAACACAGACCAAGAGGAAAAGUUUCAAAAGAAGCCUGUUUGUAAAAAGUGAUGAUGAUGUCUGCGAGAGUGAAGAUAAACUGAUCCUUGCAGGAAAUGUCAAAAGUGGGAAAGCUGGAGAUUCCCAGUUCACUAAAAAUUUAUGCUCAUUGUUGUGGGAUCCAGAAGUCCUCGAAAAAAGAAGCAUGACUGGACGAAAAUCGAACGUCCACAAGGACUUCCAAGCAAAAACAAUGUUGACACCCCAAAAAAUGGAUAGUUUAAGAAAAAUGUUCAAACGACGGAUCCUCGAGGAGAAUCCGAAUGCUUCGAGAAGUGAGAUGGAAUUAAGAUGCGCUAGCAUUAACCAGUACGUUUCUCAAAAGAUCGCAACCCUAAACAGAAAAAGCUUCAAAUCUCCUGGAGCACACCCAGAUAAGGACAUAUUAAUUCAUGAAUAAUAUAUAUGUACUGUAAUGUUUCUUCAUAAAUAAUAUAAUAAUAUAUGAGCUACUUUAAUAAACAAUUUUGCAUUUUA
This is a long non-coding RNA of Nilaparvata lugens (brown planthopper), 858 nucleotides long. RefSeq lists it as uncharacterized. The record is from RefSeq and is a predicted model, not a curated record. Lineage: Eukaryota; Metazoa; Arthropoda; Insecta; Hemiptera; Delphacidae. The transcript is spliced from 3 exons.